AUUGAACGCUGGCGGCAGGCUUAAUACAUGCAAGUCGAACGAGCAGCGGACGGGUGAGUAGGGUAUGGGAAACUGGCUGAUGGACGGGGAUGACUAGUGGAAACGGUAGCUAAUAGCGCAUACAAUAAGAUGUGGCCAGAGGGGUUUAGCUAGUAGGUGGGGUAAUGGCACACGUAGGCGACGCUCCCUAGCGGGUCUGAGAGGAUGACCAGCCACACUGGAACUGAGACACGGUCCCGACUCCUACGGGAGGCAGCAGUGGGGAAUAUUGCACAAGGGGCGCCAGUCUGAUCCAGCCACGCCGCGUGUGUGAAGAAGGCCUUCGGGUUGUAAAGCUCUGUCGGCGAGGAGGCGUUAUUCACAGAAGAAGCACCGGCUAACUCCGUGCCAGCAGCCGCGGUAAUAC
This 406-nucleotide ribosomal RNA is filed under the name uncultured bacterium. RNAcentral describes it as "partial 16S ribosomal RNA". It matches the Rfam family "Bacterial small subunit ribosomal RNA", at positions 29 to 526 of the family's 1533-position model. The record is from RNAcentral.